UCUAAUACAUGCAAGUCGAGCGGAAUGAUGAAGAAGCUUGCUUCUUCUGAUUUUAGCGGCGGACGGGUGAGUAACACGUGGGCAACCUACCUUGUAGAUUGGGAUAACUCCGGGAAAACCGGGGCUAAUACCGAAUAAUCCAUUUUGCUUCAUGGCGAGAUGUUGAAAGACGGUUUCGGCUGUCACUACAAGAUGGGCCCGCGGCGCAUUAGCUAGUUGGUAGGGUAAUGGCCUACCAAGGCGACGAUGCGUAGCCGACCUGAGAGGGUGGUCGGCCACACUGGGACUGAGACACGGCCCAGACUCCUACGGGAGGCAGCAGUAGGGAAUCUUCCACAAUGGACGAAAGUCUGAUGGAGCAACGCCGCGUGAGUGAAGAAGGGUUUUUCGGAUCGUAAAAACUCUGUUGUAAGGGAAGAACACGUACGAGAGUAACUGCUCGUACCUUGACGGUACCUUAUUAGAAAGCCACGGCUAACUACGUG
This 485-nucleotide ribosomal RNA is filed under the name uncultured bacterium. Its description in RNAcentral is "bacterial SSU rRNA". It matches the Rfam family "Bacterial small subunit ribosomal RNA", at positions 47 to 507 of the family's 1533-position model. The record is from RNAcentral.